This 92-nucleotide ribosomal RNA is filed under the name Chroogomphus sibiricus. Its description in RNAcentral is "partial 5.8S ribosomal RNA". It matches the Rfam family "5.8S ribosomal RNA", at positions 67 to 154 of the family's 154-position model. Rfam says of the family: 5.8S ribosomal RNA (5.8S rRNA) is a component of the large subunit of the eukaryotic ribosome. It is transcribed by RNA polymerase I as part of the 45S precursor that also contains 18S and 28S rRNA. The record is from RNAcentral. Lineage: Eukaryota; Fungi; Basidiomycota; Agaricomycetes; Boletales; Gomphidiaceae.
GUGAAUUGCAGAUCUACAGUGAAUCAUCGAAUCUUUGAACGCACAUUGCGCUCCUCGGUGUUCCGAAGAGCAUGCCUGUUUGAGUGUCAGUA